This 671-nucleotide ribosomal RNA is filed under the name Pseudoduganella plicata. RNAcentral's name for it is "bacterial SSU rRNA". It matches the Rfam family "Bacterial small subunit ribosomal RNA", at positions 69 to 735 of the family's 1533-position model. Lineage: Bacteria; Pseudomonadati; Pseudomonadota; Betaproteobacteria; Burkholderiales; Oxalobacteraceae. The record is from RNAcentral.
GUAACAGGGAGCUUGCUCCGCUGACGAGUGGCGAACGGGUGAGUAAUAUAUCGGAACGUACCCAAGAGUGGGGGAUAACGUAGCGAAAGUUACGCUAAUACCGCAUACGAUCCAAGGAUGAAAGCAGGGGACCGCAAGGCCUUGUGCUCCUGGAGCGGCCGAUAUCUGAUUAGCUAGUUGGUAGGGUAAAGGCCUACCAAGGCAUCGAUCAGUAGCUGGUCUGAGAGGACGACCAGCCACACUGGAACUGAGACACGGUCCAGACUCCUACGGGAGGCAGCAGUGGGGAAUUUUGGACAAUGGGCGCAAGCCUGAUCCAGCAAUGCCGCGUGAGUGAAGAAGGCCUUCGGGUUGUAAAGCUCUUUUGUCAGGGAAGAAACGGGUGCGGCUAAUAUCUGCAUCUAAUGACGGUACCUGAAGAAUAAGCACCGGCUAACUACGUGCCAGCAGCCGCGGUAAUACGUAGGGUGCAAGCGUUAAUCGGAAUUACUGGGCGUAAAGCGUGCGCAGGCGGUUUUGUAAGUCUGUUGUGAAAUCCCCGGGCUUAACCUGGGAAUGGCAAUGGAGACUGCAAGGCUAGAGUUUGGCAGAGGGGGGUAGAAUUCCACGUGUAGCAGUGAAAUGCGUAGAGAUGUGGAGGAACACCGAUGGCGAAGGCAGCCCCCUGGGUC